Molecule: ribosomal RNA, 468 nt
Filed under: uncultured bacterium
Lineage: Bacteria
Description: partial 16S ribosomal RNA
Rfam family: Bacterial small subunit ribosomal RNA
Source: RNAcentral
GACGAACGCUGGCGGCGUGCUUAACACAUGCCAGUCGAACGGAAAGGCCCUGCUUUUGUGGGGUGCUCGAGUGGCGAACGGGUGAGUAACACGUGAGUAACCUGCCCUUGACUUUGGGAUAACUUCAGGAAACUGGGGCUAAUACCGGAUAGGAGCUCCUGCUGCAUGGUGGGGGUAGGAAAGUUUCGGCGGUUGGGGAUGGACUCGCGGCUUAUCAGCUUGUUGGUGGGGUAGUGGCUUACCAAGGCUUUGACGGGAAGCCGGCCUGAGAGGGUGACCGGCCACAUUGGGACUGAGAUACGGCCCAGACUCCUACGGGAGGCAGCAGUGGGGAAUAUUGCACAAUGGGCGGAAGCCUGAUGCAGCAACGCCGCGUGCGGGAUGACGGCCUUCGGGUUGUAAACCGCUUUCGCCUGUGACGAAGCGUGAGUGACGGUAAUGGGUAAAGAAGCACCGGCUAACUACGUG